Molecule: small nuclear RNA, 106 nt
Organism: Myotis lucifugus (little brown bat)
Lineage: Eukaryota; Metazoa; Chordata; Mammalia; Chiroptera; Vespertilionidae
Source: Ensembl
GUGCUCACUUCAGCAGCACAUGUACUGAAAUUGGAAUGAUACAGAGAAGUUAGCAUGGCCCCUGUGCAGGGAUGACACAAAAAAUGAAUAAAUAAAUAAAAUAAAA